Molecule: unclassified non-coding RNA, 376 nt
Filed under: uncultured Actinomycetes bacterium
Lineage: Bacteria; Bacillati; Actinomycetota; Actinomycetes
Description: uncultured actinobacterium contains 16S-23S intergenic spacer region
Source: RNAcentral
UCCGAGUUGACCCCGGCAGUCUCCUAUGAGUCCCCACCAUCACGUGCUGGCAACAUAGGACGAGGGCUGCGCUCGUUGCGGGACUUAACCCAACAUCUCACGACGCGAGCUGACGACAGCCAUGCACCACCUGUACACGACCCAAAAGGACCCCGCAUCUCUACGGGUACACCGUGUAUGUCAAACCCAGGUAAGGUUCUUCGCGUCGCAUCGAAUUAAUCCGCAUGCUCCGCCGCUUGUGCGGGCCCCCGUCAAUUCCUUUGAGUUUUAGCCUUGCGGCCGUACUCCCCAGGCGGGGCGCUUAAUGCGUUAGCUGCGGCACGGAGGACAAUGAAGCCCCCCACACCUAGCGCCCAACGUUUACAGCGUGGACUAC